AGAGUUUGAUCCUGGCUCAGAACGAACGCUGGCGGCGUGCUUAACACAUGCAAGUCGAACGCGAAAGGGACUUCGGUCCUGAGUAAAGUGGCGCACGGGUGAGUAACGCGUGGAUAAUCUGCCCAAUGGACUGGGAUAACAUCUCGAAAGGGGUGCUAAUACCGGAUAAGACCACGGGAUCUUAGGAUUCUGCGGUAAAAGGUGGGGACCUUCGGGCCUACCGGCAUUGGAUGAGUCCGCGUACCAUUAGCUAGUUGGUAGGGUAAUGGCCUACCAAGGCUACGAUGGUUAGCUGGUCUGAGAGGAUGAUCAGCCACACUGGAACUGAGACACGGUCCAGACUCCUACGGGAGGCAGCAGUGGGGAAUUUUGCGCAAUGGGGGAAACCCUGACGCAGCAACGCCGCGUGAGUGAUGAAGGCCUUCGGGUCGUAAAGCUCUGUCAGAGGGGAAGAAGUGCAGUGGUGCUAAUAUCGCCAUUGUUUGACGGUACCCUCAAAGGAAGCACCGGCUAACUCCGUGCCAGCAGCCGCGGUAAUACGGAGGGUGCAAGCGUUGUUCGGAAUUAUUGGGCGUAAAGCGCGUGUAGGCGGUUUGAUAAGUCUGAUGUGAAAGCCCCGGGCUCAACCUGGGAAGUGCAUUGGAAACUGUCAGACUUGAAUACGGGAGAGGGUAGUGGAAUUCCUAGUGUAGGAGUGAAAUCCGUAGAUAUUAGGAGGAACACCGGUGGCGAAGGCGGCUACCUGGACCGAUAUUGACGCUGAGACGCGAAAGCGUGGGGAGCAAACAGGAUUAGAUACC
Molecule: ribosomal RNA, 800 nt
Filed under: uncultured Geobacter sp.
Lineage: Bacteria; Pseudomonadati; Thermodesulfobacteriota; Desulfuromonadia; Geobacterales; Geobacteraceae
Description: bacterial SSU rRNA
Rfam family: Bacterial small subunit ribosomal RNA
Source: RNAcentral